UACAGAGACCUCGAGCGUUAUCCGGAUUCAUUGGGCGUAAAGCGUCUGUAGGGGGCUAUGUUAGUCUUCGGUUAAAUUACGGGGCUUAACUCCGUAACCGCCGGGGAAACGGCAUAGCUUUGAGCGCGCAAGAGGCAAGCGGAACUCAUGGUGUAGCAGUGAAAUGCGUUGAUAUCAUGGGGAACACCAAAGGCGAAGGCAGCUUGCUGGGGCGCCGCUGACCCUGAGAGACGAAAGCGUGGGUA
RNAcentral lists this ribosomal RNA (245 nucleotides) under uncultured bacterium. RNAcentral describes it as "partial 16S ribosomal RNA". It matches the Rfam family "Bacterial small subunit ribosomal RNA", at positions 524 to 767 of the family's 1533-position model. The record is from RNAcentral.